Molecule: ribosomal RNA, 468 nt
Filed under: uncultured bacterium
Lineage: Bacteria
Description: partial 16S ribosomal RNA
Rfam family: Bacterial small subunit ribosomal RNA
Source: RNAcentral
GACGAACGCUGGCGGCGUGCUUAACACAUGCAAGUCGAACGGAAAGGCCCUGCUUUUGUGGGGUGCUCGAGUGGCGAACGGGUGAGUAACACGUGAGUAACCUGCCCUUGACUUUGGGAUAACUUCAGGAAACUGGGGCUAAUACCGGAUAGGAGCUCCUGCUGCAUGGUGGGGGUUGGAAAGUUUCGGCGGUUGGGGAUGGACUCGCGGCUUAUCAGCUUGUUGGUGGGGUAGUGGCUUACCAAGGCUUUGACGGGUAGCCGGCCUGAGAGGGUGACCGGCCACAUUGGGACUGAGGUACGGCCCAUACUCCUACGGGAGGCAGCAGUGGGGAAUAUUGCACAAUGGGCGGAAGCCUGAUGCAGCAACGCCGCGUGCGGGAUGGCGGCCUUCGGGUUGUAAACCGCUUUCGCCUGUGACGAAGCGUGAGUGACGGUAAUGGGUAAAGAAGCACCGGCUAACUACGUG